GUACCUAAUUCAGCAGUUGCAUGACAUGAUCAUGACAUGUGUCUUGGAUAUAUUUAAUUCAUGUAAUAAUAAUUAGAAGUAAGGGUACUCAUGUGGACAAAAAUCAAAAGUGCUAGUACUCAGUACUGAGGGACGGGCCCAUUCAG
Molecule: long non-coding RNA, 146 nt
Organism: Etheostoma spectabile (orangethroat darter)
Lineage: Eukaryota; Metazoa; Chordata; Actinopteri; Perciformes; Percidae
Exons: 3
Source: RefSeq, a predicted model, not a curated record